This 346-nucleotide unclassified non-coding RNA is filed under the name soil metagenome. Its description in RNAcentral is "partial contains 5.8S ribosomal RNA, internal transcribed spacer 2, and large subunit ribosomal RNA". The stretch from base 1 to 120 matches the Rfam family "5.8S ribosomal RNA", at positions 35 to 154 of the family's 154-position model. The record is from RNAcentral.
GAUGAAGAACGUAGCGAAAUGCGAUAAGUAGUGUGAAUUGCAGAAUUCAGUGAAUCAUCGAAUCUUUGAACGCACAUUGCGCCCUUUGGUAUUCCGAAGGGCAUGCCUGUUCGAGCGUCAUUAUCAACCCUCAAGCCCGGCUUGCCGUUGGGUCCCGUAGGGGUGCGAAUCUCAACGGACCUCAAAGAUAGUGGCAGAGCCCGUACGGACCCUGGAUGCAGCGAGCUUUCUGGCACGCAUCACAGCAAUCCGCCGGCUCGGUCUUAACCGCCAAUUUUUUUUCACUGGUUGACCUCGGAUCAGGUAGGGAUACCCGCUGAACUUAAGCAUAUCAAUAAGCGGAGGA